UGGCGGACGGGUGAGUAAUGUCUGGGAAACUGCCUGGUGGAGGGGGGUAACUACUGGAAACGGUAGCUAAUACCGCAUAACGUCGCAAGACCAAAGAGGGGGACCUUAGGGCCUCUUGCCAUCGGAUGUGCCCAGAUGGGAUUAGCUAGUAGGUGGGGUAACGGCUCACCUAGGCGACGAUCCCUAGCUGGUCUGAGAGGAUGACCAGCCACACUGGAACUGAGACACGGUCCAG
Molecule: ribosomal RNA, 235 nt
Filed under: uncultured bacterium
Lineage: Bacteria
Description: partial 16S ribosomal RNA
Rfam family: Bacterial small subunit ribosomal RNA
Source: RNAcentral